UCUACGGGUGGCAGCAGUGAGGAAUAUUGGUCAAUGGGCGAGAGCCUGAACCAGCCAAGUCGCGUGAAGGAUGACGGCCCUACGGGUUGUAAACUUCUUUUGUCAGGGAGCAAUUGAGUCCACGUGUGGUCUUAGCGAGAGUACCUGAAGAAAAAGCAUCGGCUAAGUCCGUGCCAGCAGCCGAGGUAAUACGGAGGAUGCGACGGUUAUCCGGAUUUAUUGGGUUUAAAGGGUGCGUAGGCGGAAGAUGAAGUCAGCGGUAAAAUUUCGAGGCUCAACCCCGGCGAGCCGUUGAAACUGGCUGUCUUGAGAUGGCGAGAGGUAUGCGGAAUGCGCGGUGUAGCGGUGAAAUGCUGAGAGAUUGCGCAGAACUCCGAUUGCGAAGGCAGCAUACCGGCGGCGAUCUGACGCUGAGGCACGAAAGCGUGGGUAUCGAACAGGAUUAGAUACCCCAGUAGUC
Molecule: ribosomal RNA, 460 nt
Filed under: uncultured bacterium
Lineage: Bacteria
Description: partial 16S ribosomal RNA
Rfam family: Bacterial small subunit ribosomal RNA
Source: RNAcentral